AUACGGAGGAUGCAAGCGUUAUCCGGAUUUAUUGGGUUUAAAGGGUGCGUAGGCGGUUUGCUAAGCGGGAGGUGAAAUGCCGGCGCUCAACGUCGGAAGUGCCUCCCGAACUGGUGGACUGGAAUGACUCUGCCGUGGGAGGAAUGUGUAGUGUAGCGGUGAAAUGCUUAGAGAUUACACAGAACACCGAUUGCGAAGGCAUCUCACGAAGGGUUGAUUGACGCUGAGGCACGAAAGCGUGGGGAUCAAACAGGAUUAGAUACCCUGGUAGUCCACGCAGUAAACGAUGAUGGCUAACCGCUGGUUUAUUCGGAUCAGUGGCCAAGCGAAAGCGAUAAGCCAUCCACCUGGGGAGUACGACCGCAAGGUUGAAACUCAAAGGAAUUGGCGGGG
This 393-nucleotide ribosomal RNA is filed under the name uncultured bacterium. RNAcentral describes it as "partial 16S ribosomal RNA". It matches the Rfam family "Bacterial small subunit ribosomal RNA", at positions 523 to 918 of the family's 1533-position model. The record is from RNAcentral.